AAAUACUGCUUUCUUAAUUAUGAUUUUUGAGUAAAUGUUUUUUUUCCCCGAGCUCCGCAUGUGGACGUCAUGACGUUUUCUCUCCAACCUGAACGACGUUGACAGAAAAUUCUGUUCAAUAUGGCUGCCCUUCUCGAGCGACUGGAGAACACAUUUGGAGAAACUUGCUGAAGACCGAAGACAAAAAGACAGAAGAAAAAAAAAAUUCAGACUGCAAUUAAUUUCAGGUGGAGACAGUAAACACAGGAGGCGCCUGAUAUCAACGUGAAACGCACUGCAGUACUUCGUGCCCUUCCUGUAUACCUGUGGGAGGAGGACCCAGAAUUCUUUUAGACAUGUAAUGCGGACGCAUUGGAUGAGUCGACCCUCAUUGACCCUCCAGUUGCCCUUCUCACUGUGGUUACCGACAGCGCUUCCCAGUCCAGUCCAUUUUACUUCCUCAAGCAUGGCUGUUGUGGUGAAAGGCGACUAGGUGAUGCGUGAUAUUCCCAGAUUUGCAGAUGCAUUUGCUUUAUUGUUUGGCUUGAUCUAUGCUCUGCAUUUAGACUACCCCAGGAAGCUGGUUCACACAUUUGCCUUAGUCCAAAAUAUCUUCAUGGGGCUUGAUGACGGCAAACCCCUGAAACCCCUGGCUACAUGCUCUUAAGGAAUAUAAGGCAAUGUUUGUUAGGACACGCACUCUGUUACUGAGCACUUUGUUUGAAGCACUUUAAGCACUUUAAGUUUACUACAGGCUUUGGGUGGAUUUAACUCCAUCAGUUUACCUAAUUUUCCUAUACUUGACUGCCUUAUCUGGUUAUUUGGAAGCCGAUCGUCUUUGUACCCAUUUUAAAAAAUUGUUUUUCAUUUCUAUUUUUAAAAAAAGUGAUUAGUAUUUGACUUUUUGUUUUGCAUUUUUGUGUAUUUUGAGAAAGAUGCAAUUAGGACUGAUGUCGUCAUUUUAUAAAAAGAUAAAUGUUCUACACAGAAUUUAUAAUGCUCCCUUUAUGGUGCCGAUGUCCAUGUUAGUGGUUUUAUAAAAACAUUUGUGAUGUUUUUAAAUUUUCAUGAAAAAAUGUUAAAUAAACAAAAUGUAAAGUAA
This is a long non-coding RNA of Astatotilapia calliptera (eastern happy), 1081 nucleotides long. Lineage: Eukaryota; Metazoa; Chordata; Actinopteri; Cichliformes; Cichlidae. The record is from Ensembl.